CUGGAUCUGGUUUGUUUAGAAAUAGCUUGACAGAACAGUUUUCUGCAAGUUAGCAGAAUGAUUACAUUGACAAUUUUUCUCAGUUUGUUACUGACGUUUUUAUCCUGUGUCCAGUCGGAGAUUACUUUGAAUCAACCAGAGGCAGAGACCGACCGCCCAGGAGCCACCCUGAGACUGACCUGUAAAACCAGCGGGUUCAAUCUUGGCAACGACUGGAUGUGGUGGGUCCGACAGGUUCCCGGACAGGGACUGGAAUGGUUGAUUAGCUACUAUAGUUCAUCGAACAAUUACUACGUGUCAGCGAUUAAAGAUCGAUUUACUGCGUCCAAAGACACUUCAAACAACAUCUUCGCAUUGGACAUGAAGAGCCUAAAGAUCGAAGACACUGCCAUCUAUUACUGUGCAAGAGACCACAGCGGAGCAGAGAAUGUAAUGCCGUGUCUUGCUUACUGGGGGCAAGGGACGAUGGUGACGGUGAUUGCAGCGACACCAUCUUUCCCCACACUUUAUGGCUUAGUGUCAUCCUGUCAACCACACAGCACUGAUGGUUCUGUGAUCUUUGGUUGUUUGGCAAUGGACUAUUCCCCUGACGUCACCAAGGUGACGUGGAAGAAAGAAGGGAAGCAAAUCACGACUGGAUUGAAUACUUACCCAUCAGUGAGAAACAAGAAGGGAACUUACACCCUGAGCAGCCAGUUAACCGUGACUGAGUCAGAAGUGGAAUGCAGCAAAAUCUACUGUGAAGUUCAACACCAAGGGUCAGAGAAGAGCGUUGAAAUGCCAUGUUUAGAAAUUGUCCAUCCAACUCUUCUCCUAACUGUGAGUUCCAGCGAAGAAAUCGAGAGCAGCAAAGUUGCAACCGUCGUCUGUUCAAUCAUGGAUUUCCAUCCUAAGCAAAUUUCCGUGACUUGGUUGAAGAAUGGACGACCCGUAGGUUCUGGUUUCUUCACCUCUCCCGUGUGUGAAGCGAGCGGGAACUUCUCGUCGACUAGUCAGCUGAGAGUCCCUUAUAGUGAAUGGUUCAACAGCGCAGUCUAUACGUGCCAAGUCACUCAUGAAGAGGCCAUUCAAAGUCGAAACAUCACCGGACCGCAGGUUGCGGAGUGCCGUGAUCACACAAUUAAAAUACUACCACCGCCAUUAGAACAGGUCUUACUGGAAGCGACAGUGACGUUAACCUGCGUUGUGUCCAAUCUUCCUUUUGGAGUCAACGUCACCUGGACACAAGGAAAGAAACCUUUGAAAUCAGAGAUUGCUGACCAAGCAGGAGACGAUCCCGACAGCGUGAUCAGCAAAUUAUACAUUUCUACUGAAGCCUGGCUGAGUGGGGAUAAUUUCUACUGCGUGGUGAACCAUCAGUAUCUACCAACUCCUUUGAGAGGUUCCAUCCACAAGGAGAAAGUGAUAAAUCCACUGGAGCCGUCAGUGUCUGUCCUCCUGCCACCGACAGAAGAAAUCUCCGCUCAGAGGUUUGUCUCCCUCACCUGUUUAGUCAGAGGAUUCUCCCCCAGAGAGAUCUUCGUCAAAUGGACAACCAAUGACAAGCUGGUGAAUCCCAUUAACUACAAGAACACCGAAGUGAUGGCAGAGUAUGACAACGCCUCCUUCUUCAUGUACAGCCUGUUAUCCAUUGCUGCGGAGGAGUGGGCCAGCGGUGCUUCUUACUCCUGUGUGGUGGGACAUGAAGCGGUUCCAUUGAAGAUCAUCAAUAGAACAGUUGAUAAAUCGAGCGGUAAACCGAGUUUUGUGAAUAUUUCACUUGCACUGAUGGACACCAUUAACUCAUGCCAAUGAAAAUCUCAAGGCUCCCUUUAAGAAUUCAAUAAAAGUAAUAAAGUGUUUCUUUCCUCAAA
Non-coding RNA from Rhincodon typus (whale shark), 1853 nucleotides. NCBI's taxonomy places the organism in Eukaryota, Metazoa, Chordata, Chondrichthyes, Orectolobiformes, Rhincodontidae. The record is from the annotation of a RefSeq genome assembly.